CCCGUCGUAAACGUCUCAUCAUGUCUCUACGGGAACAGAUCGUCAACGAGGGGAAGGACAAGGCCUUUCUCCUCAGGAGGUUACAGUGUCUACAGAGACAGGGAGCAGGCAGACCUAGACCACAGGUGCACUUCGAGGAGGAGAAACCGACCAGGCCAGAGUCAGGGCAGCUUAGAGAAGAAGCACGCCCUCCUCCCUCCUUCCAACACCCAUCCACCCCCAUGGAGGCCCCCUCCGUGUUAACUCGGCCUCCCUGGGACAGCUCCCCCAGGCUAGGUAGAGCCCAGCCCCCAGUCCCCGUGGUGGUGCCCCAGAGGCAGCCCUGGUCGCGGCCGGACCCCAGCCAGCAGGCAGGCGUGCUGGGUAGAGGAGGAGCGACCAGCCCCUCCCCCUCCAGAUCCACUGUGGCCAGUCAGGGGUAGAGGAUGGCUUCAGGGAAGGCCCCACGGGGGGCCCAGAUUGGAGCCGCUGCCUUCCCGCGAGGUACCCGUCCUGCCUGGGUCGGUGCCUGAGAGCGCCCCCCCUCCCCCACGGAGACCAGGGUCCAGCAGAGCAGAGGUGAACCAGGGACAACAUCAGUCCUAGCUAGACUCAGAGAGAGGAUAGGAGCCCACAUCAACUGUCGGGCUCAGACAUGGUCUGCUUCCAAAAUGCCACACUAUUCCAUAGGACUCAGGUCAAAUGUAGUGCACUAUGUAGGGAAUAGUGUGCCAUAGAGCUCUGGUCUACAGUAGUGCACUAUGUAGGGAAUAGGGUGUCAUAGGGCUCUGGUCUAAAGUAGUGCACUAUGUAGGGAAUAGGGUGUCAUAGAGCUCUGGUCUAAAGUAGUGCACUAUGUAGGGAAAAGGGUGUUGUCCCAGAAGAAGAUUUAAGUGUUAGUUAGUUGAGAUAAAGGUAGGUGAUCUUUAUGUUGAGUUAUGUUGAUAUGCUGAGUUAUGUUGAUAUGCUGAGAUAUGUUGAUAUGCUGAGUUAUGUUGAGUUAUGUUGAUAUGCUGAGAUAUGUUGAUAUGCUGAGAUAUGUUGAUAUGCUGAGUUAUGUUGAUAUGCUGAGAUAUGUUGAUAUGCUGAGAUAUGUUGAUAUGCUGAGAUAUGUUGAUAUGCUGAGUUAUGUUGAUAUGCUGAGAUAUGUUGAUAUGCUGAGUUAUGUUGAGAUAUGUUGAUAUGCUGAGAUAUGUUGAUAUGCUGAGUUAUGUUGAGUUAUGUUGAUAUGCUGAGUUAUGUUGAGUUAUGUUGUUAUGUUGAGUUAUGUUGAUAUGCUGAGUUAUGUUGAGUUAUGUUGAUAUGCUGAGUUAUGUUGGUAGGCUGAGAUAUGUUGAUAUGCUGAGUUAUGUUGAUAUGCUGAGAUAUGUUGAUAUGCUGAGAUAUGUUGAUAUGCUGAGAUAUGUUGAUAUGCUGAGAUAUGUUGAUAUGCUGAGUUAUGUUGAUAUGCUGAGAUAUGUUGAUAUGCUGAGAUAUGUUGAUAUGCUGAGAUAUGUUGAUAUGCUGAGUUAUGUUGGCAGGGUGUUGAUUCUUUUUGAAAUUCUAAUAUUUUAUAAGUCUUGUUCUGUAUCAGUUGAUUUUGAAUUAAAUUCUUUGUCAUCUGUAAAUAACAUGUUUGAGUCAGUCAGUGGCCGUGUCUGAAAUCUGGCGUGCCUACCACCAGGGUAGUAUUGCUUCUGGAGGACUGGCGUGCCUACCACCAGGGUAGUAUUGCUUCUGGAGGACUGGCGUGCCUACCACCAGGGUAGUAUUGAUGCUGGAGGACUGGCGUGCCUACCACCAGGGUAGUAUUGCUGCUGGAGGACUGGCGUGCCUACCACCAGGGUAGUAUUGCUGCUGGAGGACUGGCGUGCCUACCACCAGGGUAGUAUUGCUGCUGGAGGACUGGCGUGCCUACCACCAGGGUAGUAUUGCUGCUGGAGGACUGGCGUGCCUACUACCAGGGUAGUAUUGCUGCUGGAGGACUGGCGUGCCUACUACCAGGGUAGUAUUGCUGCUGGAGGACUGGCGUGCCUACUACCAGGGUAGUAUUGCUGCUGGAGGACUGGCGUGCCUACUACCAGGGUAGUAGGGCUGGAGGACUGGCGUGCCUACUACCAGGGUAGUAUUGCUGCUGGAGGACUGGCGUGCCUACUACCAGGGUAGUAUUGCUGCUGGAGGACUGGCGUGCCUACUACCAGGGUAGUAUUGCUGCUGGAGGACUGGCGUGCCUACUACCAGGGUAGUAUUGCUGCUGGAGGACUGGCGUGCCUACUACCAGGGUAGUAUUGCUGCUGGAGGACUGGCGUGCCUACCACCAGGGUAGUAUUGCUGCUGGAGGACUGGCGUGCCUACUACCAGGGUAGUAUUGCUGCUGGAGGACUGGCGUGCCUACUACCAGGGUAGUAUUGCUGCUG
This is a long non-coding RNA of Oncorhynchus tshawytscha (Chinook salmon), 2375 nucleotides long. The record is from Ensembl. Lineage: Eukaryota; Metazoa; Chordata; Actinopteri; Salmoniformes; Salmonidae.